UGGGGUGUAGCCAAGCGGUAAGGCAGUGGAUUUUGAUUCCACCAUGCGGAGGUUCGAAUCCUCCCUCCCCAGCCG
This 75-nucleotide transfer RNA is filed under the name Acidiphilium sp. 34-64-41. RNAcentral describes it as "tRNA-Gln". It matches the Rfam family "tRNA". Rfam says of the family: Transfer RNA (tRNA) molecules are approximately 80 nucleotides in length. Lineage: Bacteria; Pseudomonadati; Pseudomonadota; Alphaproteobacteria; Acetobacterales; Acidocellaceae. The record is from RNAcentral. RNAcentral also lists the same sequence under 2 other names.